Molecule: ribosomal RNA, 253 nt
Filed under: uncultured bacterium
Lineage: Bacteria
Description: partial 16S ribosomal RNA
Rfam family: Bacterial small subunit ribosomal RNA
Source: RNAcentral
UACGUAGGGUGCAAGCGUUGUCCGGAAUUAUUGGGCGUAAAGAGCUCGUAGGCGGUUUGUCGCGUCUGCUGUGAAAACGCGAGGCUCAACCUCGCGCCUGCAGUGGGUACGGGCAGACUAGAGUGCGGUAGGGGAGAUUGGAAUUUCUGGUGUAGCGGUGGAAUGCGCAGAUAUCAGGAGGAACACCGAUGGCGAAGGCAGAUCUCUGGGCCGUAACUGACGCUGAGGAGCGAAAGCGUGGGGAGCAAACAGG